CUUUUAUCCUGAAAUGCGGGCGCGAGUGCGCAUGCCCGGAAGUGCGUUUAGAUUCACUAGAAACUGUUCCUGCUGCAUUUCACCGAAUAAAUGUGUUUAUUUCAUUAGUCGAUCACAUCAACAGGCUCGUUCACUGAUUCCAGGUGCUUUACAGACUGACAGUCUGUUGUUGUCAGUAGGUCUGAGGAUGGUGUGAUGUUCAGUGAUGAUGAUGAUGAUGAUGAUGAUGAUGAUGAUGAAGAUACUGUUGUUGUCUGUAGGUGUCAGGAUGGUGUGUGAGCUGCUGCUCUCCUCGGUCUGGUUCCUGUUCGUCAUCUUCUGGCUGGAGACCAUCAGUGUUUGGCUCUUCCUGUGUCUGUACUAUCAGGAUCGGGUUUUCUAUCACUGGGGUUCAGGUGAGUCUGCAGAUGAUCCAGAUCAGUUCCUCUACGUGUUGAGCAGAAUUGACCUUUCUGCGCACAUGCAGACGUGAGGAAGUGAUGUCAUUGCUCGAGUGUGAGGUCACAUGAAGGGACGCGGGAGGGUCAGAGGUCAGCGGAUGCUCGUGACGUCAGAGAGCCUGUGAUGGGAGGUUUCUACAGAUGGAUAGAGUCGAGAGAUUCAGCAGAAACACAUUAAACAUGAGCAGUGUUUGCAGGAACAUGAAAUGUUGUAGUCUUGAGGUUUUAGGUUUCUUCACAUGAUCAGUGACAAACCGUAAUGUCUUUAAAACUGUUACCUGUGUGAACAUGACUGACUGAGUUUAACCAGUUCAUCUCUUUAACUAGUUGGAAUUUCAUUUUAUAAAACUUUAGCAUCUCCGGAUUAACUUUUAUCUAAUUAUUGUUCUUUCUAUUUUUGUACCAGUUUGUCUUUUUUACCUAAUAAUAAAAAUGAAGCAGU
Molecule: long non-coding RNA, 882 nt
Filed under: Sinocyclocheilus anshuiensis
Lineage: Eukaryota; Metazoa; Chordata; Actinopteri; Cypriniformes; Cyprinidae
Description: lncRNA (ENSSANG00000044420.1)
Source: RNAcentral